Gadus morhua (Atlantic cod) is the source of this 153-nucleotide long non-coding RNA. RefSeq lists it as uncharacterized. The record is from RefSeq and is a predicted model, not a curated record. NCBI's taxonomy places the organism in Eukaryota, Metazoa, Chordata, Actinopteri, Gadiformes, Gadidae. The transcript has 3 exons.
UGACCAUCACUCUACCAACAAGGAUUACCAGGAAUCUGGAGGACUGAUGGAGAAGCCGUACAUCUGGAAGGCAAAUCCUGUGGACAACCAGGACGCUACCAUCAAGGUUUCCUCACACACCUGAGCUGAACCUCCCUGAUCCUGUUUGGUCAG